AAAGAACAACACAAUAAGACCACAUGACAAGUUCAUAGCUAACAUCAUACUUAACAGAAAAAAAGUUUAAUGCUUUUCUUCUGAAAACUGGAAAAGACAAAGAAGCCAACUCUCAGCACUUAUUCAACACAGUACUGAAGGUACUAGCCAGAGCAGUUCGACAAGAGAAAGAAAUAAAGGGGAUUACAAUUAGAAAAAAGGACACUCUCAUCUGCUCUGGUCCCUGCCCUCUCUUCAGUUGUCUCACCCCAGAGCUUGGUAUAUAGUAGGAGACAUGCAAAUAGAGCCCUCCCUCUGCUGACGAAAACAAGCACAGCCCUGACCCUGCAGUUCUGGGAGAAGAGCCCCAGCCCUGGGAUUCCCAGCUGUUUCUGCUUGCUGAUCAGGACUGCACACAGAUAGCUCACCAUGGAGUUUGGGUUGAGCUGGGUUUUCCUUGCUGCUAUUUUAAAAGGUGUCCAGUGUGAGGUGCAGCUGUUGGAGUCAGGGGGAGGCUUGGUACAGCCUGAGGGGUCCCUGAGACUCUCCUGUGCAGCCUCUGGAUUCACCUUCAGUAACUACUACAUGAACUGGGUCUGCCAGGCUCUGGAGAAGGGGUUGGAGUGGUUCUCACCUAUUAAUAGAGAUGGGAGUAGCAUAAGCUAUGCAGACUCCAUGAAGGGCCAAUUUACCAUCUCCAGAGACAACGCCAAGAACACGCUAUAUCUGCGAAUGAACAGUCUGAGAGCCGAGAACACGACUGUGUAUUACUGUACUAGAGACGCAGUGAGGGGACCUCAGUGUGAACUCAGACACAAACCUUCCAGCACCCAAGACCACAAGGAGGUGUCCAGAGCCCUAUGAACUGGGCUGUUCUCAGUGGCAGGGGCUGGUGGUGUUAAAGGUUGAUUUUCUCUCAGCAUCUGGGGCUGACUCAUCAUCAAGUUUCCUCAGAGAACCUUUCAGAUUUACAAUUCUGUGCUGACAUUUAAUGUCUCUGAAUGUGAAACAUUUCUCCCCGAUGUUUCUUUGUUUUUGUGACAGGAGGACACAUUCUCACCUCCACAUAAGCCCUAGUGUCGCUUUGGGGACAGAAAUGACCCUGCCCGGGUCACCAGAAUCAGAGUCCCCAGGAAGCCCAGGGGAACCUGGGAAGUGUUUUUCAAUCAGACUCAGGGCAGGCGUCUCAGUGGGAAUCUCUGAUUGGAACAGGAUUUGGGAUUCAGAUUGGGACCAAGAGGGAGGCUCACCCAGGGCCAGGGUCCUUAGAAUCCUGAUAGUUUUCACAGUAGCUCCAUCAUGCUUUAAAACUGAACACCCAACUCAAACUGAUCCAUUUGGCCCUUUCUCUGUAAUCCAUUUUCCUUUUCUCUAGGCUUCAUUCUUACACUUCCCCUUUUUCCUCUUUUCUGAAAAUGGAGGGUGUGCUUCCUGUGGUCUAAACCACAGGCCUCAGACACAUUACCUGCAAGUCAGGUGUGGCUCAGGCUGUGGCUCCUGUGGACCUGGCAGGCUGAGGGAUCUUUCUCAUUCCCUGGUGCCUGGAUGCCCCUGCUGUCUUCUAUGCGUGCAUGCAUUUGGGGAAAGAAAAUGGACACUCAUGGUCGUUUCCUCAAAUGGGAUACUGAUGUAGAGCUGAUCUUGUGCUUCUCACCCUGUCACAGAGCUCCCACCCUCACCUGUGACUUUCGGAGAGCUGAUUUUGGAAAUUGUUGUGCUGUGAGCUCUACGUGAUGGCAAUUGUGAAGUCUGGGUGAGCACAGGCAAAGUCAGUGGAGCCGGCCAUCAGGAAAGACAGGCUGGAUUUCCUGGGAAGCCCUACAUCUGCUGUCCAUCAUAGAGUUCCAUUGUCUUCUCUUCUGCUAGGAUUAAAUCAGACCAAACAAGUUCAUCCAGGACAAUCUUCCUGACCUAGAGAAAAGUGAUGACAGGCUUUAAUAACACCUGUAUUAUACAUCAGAGCAACACCUAGAUUAGUGUUUGAUUGAAUAUCUGAGACUAUGUUCCAGUCAAGAUGACACACAACUGAUUAUUACCAUGAUUAAAAUUUUAUAUUUUAUACUGAUUAAUAUUUUAAAACUAAUAUUAAUCAAUGCAAUAUUAAUUUAAUAUUAAAAAUUGGUAUUU
Pongo pygmaeus (Bornean orangutan) is the source of this 2106-nucleotide non-coding RNA. The record is from the annotation of a RefSeq genome assembly. Lineage: Eukaryota; Metazoa; Chordata; Mammalia; Primates; Hominidae.